AGGCCUUUGCAAUACACUCCCUAGUGGUGCAACAUUAAGGAACCGUAGUGUGUUGUCAUGGCCUCCAAGAUGCAGUCAUCAGCCGCCCUAUUCCUCGCCCUGAACCUGCUCUUUUCCCUGGUCAGUGCCACGAACUGCCCGUCGCCGACCAAGCCCAAGCCGCGCCAUCCAACGCCGACGCCGACGACGCCGGUUCCCUCCGUGGGCAAGUGCCCCAUCGAUGCCCUCAAGCUCGGCGUCUGCGUCAACGUGCUUAAUGGCCUGCUCAACGUUCAGCUGGGGACCCCGCCGAAGGAGCCCUGCUGCACCCUAAUUAAGGGGCUGGCCGACCUCGAGGCCGCUCUUUGCCUUUGCACCGUCCUCAAGGCCAACGUCCUCGGGCUCAUCAGUCUCAACCUGCCCAUCAACCUCAGUUUGCUCGUCAACUACUGUGGGAAGAAAGUCCCCACCGGCUUCAUCUGCCCUUGAGAAGCCCGGCGUUCCCCCGCGUGCUUUCCCGUACAUGUUUUCUCUUUCUAUUUCUCUCCAUCUCUGUCUAGAAUCCAAGCGCGGUUCUUUGUUGCACCGCGUUUGUCUGUAUGCUUGCUUGUUUCUCUCGCUGGUGCAGCUGCCCGAAAGUGGGCAGUCUCGCUACAGGAGAUGGGUUGGAUCUUCUGUGACAUCUCGUCAUCUUCAUCAUCAGUAGGGGGGUUGAAAUGUGUAAUUU
RNAcentral lists this long non-coding RNA (706 nucleotides) under Spirodela polyrhiza (greater duckweed). Its description in RNAcentral is "long non-coding RNA (SPOL_LNC000212)". The record is from RNAcentral. Lineage: Eukaryota; Viridiplantae; Streptophyta; Magnoliopsida; Alismatales; Araceae.